AGUGAACGCUGGCGGUAGGCCUAACACAUGCAAGUCGAACGGCAGCACAGUAAGAGCUUGCUCUUACGGGUGGCGAGUGGCGGACGGGUGAGGAAUACAUCGGAAUCUACUUUUUCGUGGGGGAUAACGUAGGGAAACUUACGCUAAUACCGCAUACGACCUACGGGUGAAAGCAGGGGAUCUUCGGACCUUGCGCGAUUGAAUGAGCCGAUGUCGGAUUAGCUAGUUGGCGGGGUAAAGGCCCACCAAGGCGACGAUCCGUAGCUGGCCUGAGAGGAUGAUCAGCCACACUGGAACUGAGACACGGUCCAUACUCCUACGGGAGGCAGCAGUGGGGAAUAUUGGACAAUGGGCGCAAGCCUGAUCCAGCCAUACCGCGUGGGUGAAGAAGGCCUUCGGGUUGUAAAGCCCUUUUGUUGGGAAAGAAAAGCAGCAGGUUAAUACCCCGCUGUUCUGACGGUACCCAAAGAAUAAGCACCGGCUAACUUCGUG
This 492-nucleotide ribosomal RNA is filed under the name uncultured bacterium. Its description in RNAcentral is "partial 16S ribosomal RNA". It matches the Rfam family "Bacterial small subunit ribosomal RNA", at positions 29 to 507 of the family's 1533-position model. The record is from RNAcentral.